Molecule: long non-coding RNA, 961 nt
Organism: Salvia miltiorrhiza (redroot sage)
Lineage: Eukaryota; Viridiplantae; Streptophyta; Magnoliopsida; Lamiales; Lamiaceae
Exons: 3
Source: RefSeq, a predicted model, not a curated record
AUUAAUUUAUAUGCGAUAGAAAUAUUAUUUCUAUUAUUUACUAGAAGUCGAGAAAUUAUUCCGACUGCAACGCAGAUUAAAUAUACGGAUUUAAUCUAGAUAUUAAAUGGCUUGUGAAGUGAAUUAAAUCUACUUAUUUAAUUUAUACAUGAAUAAUGAGCAUAAGCCAAUAUUUGAUUGCAAACACGCGAUUAAAUAGUAGAUGCACUGAGUAACCAAGACACAAAGAUUUAUUAUUAUUUACAAUUAGAACUUCAACCACCACUAUCAAUCAAUGCAGUAAUUGAUUUUUUUUCUGAGUACAAGAAGAAAUCUUUGCAUAUAAGCUCACCACUGGCAGCAAGAGUGACGCAGUACAUUUGGGUAAAAAAAUAAAACUCUCGAAUUUGCUGGCUUUAGGAGGAAGAUCAUGCUUAAGACAAUCAUCUUCCACUAUCUAAUUAUUUAUCAACCACUACCUCCACUUAACAAAAAUGAGACCUACGCACUAGCCUGCACCACCACCCUUUUUCUCCACCAAACUUUCCACUUACUUCAUUCCUUCUCUCAUACACCAAGCACCAGAAAGGGAGAUGAAGUUCCUGCUGCCAACUGCCAAGUAUCGAGAGUUUCUUCUCCAUUGAAUUCAUUAUCAACAACAGCAGCUACCAACACAAAAUACUCAAGGUCAAGCGCGAGAGUAAGAACUACACAAGGAGUUAGAGUACCUUAGCAAAACUUUGCUAUCAGGUUGAGCUGUGAUGGGCGAUGAAGUGUUGUUGCUGAGUAGAGUUUUUGUCGAAUUUAAAGUAGGCUCAGAAAGGAUACAUGUCUUCAUACAUGUAUCUCAGUUAUGCAUUCCGCUGUAAACACUGAUUAUUUCAGUUACACCUUCCGUUGCAAACUCUGAUAAUGUUUUAGCCAAGCCCCUAAAAAUGCCUUUUUCCUUUUAAGGAAUAUAACGCGUAUACAAGUUCUUUGA